This is a long non-coding RNA of Pan troglodytes (chimpanzee), 774 nucleotides long. RefSeq lists it as uncharacterized. The record is from RefSeq and is a predicted model, not a curated record. NCBI's taxonomy places the organism in Eukaryota, Metazoa, Chordata, Mammalia, Primates, Hominidae. The transcript has 2 exons.
AGCCCUCAUUAUACCAAGGGUAGAAAUCCCUAGGAAUCUGUUAGAAAUGCAUGGUCUCAGGCUCCUCCCCAGACUCGCUGAAUCUUGACAAACUCCCCAGAAGAGAAGCACUGUCCUGUAUGAACCUAGAGCCCCUGAGGGCUGGGCCACUGUCCUGUAUGAACCUGGAGUCCCUGAGGGCUGGGCUGUGGCAUCCCUGCCCCAGGGGAGACGGUGCUGCUGUCUCUUCAUUGCAGACAUGAGCCCUUAGACUUUGCAUGAUGAAAGCUCAUGACAAACGCUACCUACUCCCGACCCCCAGCUUCCUAUUCCACAUAAGAUCUCCUAAGCCCAAUAACCUGUGACCUCACAGAUGAAUGGAACGUGUCCUCUUUCGUCCUGUAGCUCCACGGUAACCUGAGAGAUGGCCUGGAGGCAGGGUGGCAUGUUGUUUUUAAAGUGAUACAAGAGACACAGUGGAGACCGUCCAAUGAGUGGCAUGGCUGCCAGGAUGCCAACUGGGACACUAAAGCCCUGGCAGUGGGGGCUGCCCAGCAGGGCUGGCCACUGGAAAUAAGAGAUGCAAAUUCAUCUUCUAUCAUAGCCAAAGAAGACCAACAAAGACCAACAGAGGCCAUGUCUCGCAUUCAGCUCCAACAGCAGGCAGUAGAUUUGUUACAGAGACUAAAACCCACCUUAUUGCCAAGUGACCCUCCUCUCACCAGCCUCCCCUGCUGCCACCCAAAUUCCUGCCACUGAACUACUCCUCAAAAUAAAACACAGCUGUAAAAUGCA